GACGAACGCUGGCGGCGUGCUUAACACAUGCAAGUCGAACGGAAAGGCCUUUUCGGAGGUACUCGAGUGGCGAACGGGUGAGUAGCACGUGGGUGAUCUGCCCUGCACUCUGGGAUAAGCCUGGGAAACUGGGUCUAAUACCGGAUAGGACCGCACUUUAGUGUGUGUGGUGGAAAGUUUUUUCGGUGUAGGAUGAGCCCGCGGCCUAUCAGCUUGUUGGUGGGGUAAUGGCCUACCAAGGCGGCGACGGGUAGCCGGACUGAGAGGUUGGUCGGCCACAUUGGGACUGAGAUACGGCCCAGACUCCUACGGGAGGCAGCAGUGGGGAAUAUUGCACAAUGGGCGCAAGCCUGAUGCAGCGACGCCGCGUGGGGGAUGACGGCCUUCGGGUUGUAAACUCCUUUCGCCAGGGACGAAGCGUUUUGUGACGGUACCUGGAGAAGAAGCACCGGCUAACUACGUG
Molecule: ribosomal RNA, 463 nt
Filed under: uncultured bacterium
Lineage: Bacteria
Description: partial 16S ribosomal RNA
Rfam family: Bacterial small subunit ribosomal RNA
Source: RNAcentral